GCGUCUACUUACCGCUGUUGGUAC
This 24-nucleotide non-coding RNA is filed under the name Arabidopsis thaliana (thale cress). Lineage: Eukaryota; Viridiplantae; Streptophyta; Magnoliopsida; Brassicales; Brassicaceae. The record is from RNAcentral.